AGAGUUUGAUUCUGGCUCAGAACGAACGCUGGCAGCGUGGAUUAGGCAUGCAAGUCGAACGGGAUCCGGGGCUAUAGCAAUAUAAUCUCGGUGAUAGUGGCGGAAGGGUGAGUAACGCGUGGGUAAGCUACCUCGAAGUUGGGGACAACCAGGUGAAAAUCUGGCUAAUACCGAAUGUGGUCUCUUGGCGCAUGUCAGGAUGACUAAAGGCGGGGAUCCUUUUGGACCUGUCGCUUUGAGAGGCACCCGCGUGCCAUCAGCUUGUUGGUAGGGUAACGGCCUACCAAGGCUUACGGCUAGCCGGCCUGGGAGGGUGACCGGCCACACUGGGACUGAGACACUGCCCAGACUCCUACGGGAGGCUGCAGUCGAGGAUCAUUCGCAAUGCGCGAAAGCGUGACGAUGCGACGCUGCGUGGAGGAUGAAGGCCCUAGGGUUGUAAACUCCUGUCAUGAGGGAAAAGCCGUCCUGCCCAUAACAUGGGCGGGACCCGAUGGUACCUCAAGAGGAAGCCACGGCUAACUCUGUGCCAGCAGCCGCGGUAAUACAGAGGUGGCGAGCGUUGUUCGGAUUUACUGGGCGUAAAGGGUGCGUAGGUGGUUUCGUAUGUCGGAUGUGAAAGCCCAUGGCUCAACCGUGGAAUUGCAUUUGAAACUGCGAGACUAGAGUGCAGGAUGGGGGAGCGGAAUUCUUGGUGCAGCGGUGAAAUGCGUUGAUAUCAAGAAGAACACCGGUGGCGAAGGCGGCUCUCUGGAAUGCUACUGACACUGAGGCACGAAAGCUGGGGGGAGCAAACAGGAUUAGAUACCCUGGUAGUCCCAGCCGUAAACGGUGCACACUUGGUGUGGGGAGAUUUAACCCUCUCCGUGCCGGAGCUAACGCGUUAAGUGUGCCGCCUGGGGAGUACGGCCGCAAGGCUAAAACUCAAAGAAAUUGACGGGGGCCCGCACAAGCGGAGGAGCAUGUGGCUUAAUUCGAUGCAACGCGAAGAACCUUACCAGGGCUUGACAUAUACCUGCAAGCCCCCUGAAAGGGGGGCCGCCUUCGAGGGUGGUAUACAGGUGCUGCAUGGCUGUCGUCAGUUCGUGCCGUGAGGUGUUGGGUUAAGUCCCGUAACGAACGCAACCCUUGUGACUAGUUGCCACCGGCGGUGAUGAGCCGUCGAGCACUCUAGUCAGACUGCCCGUACAAGCGGGAGGAAGGUGGGGAUGACGUCAAGUCAGUAUGGCCCUUACGCCCUGGGCUGCACACGUGCUACAAUGGACGGUACAAUGGGAGGCAAUACCGCAAGGUGGAGCAAAUCCACAAAACCGUCCUCAGUCCGGAUUGAAGUCUGCAACUCGACUUCAUGAAGUUGGAUUCGCUAGUAACGGCGCAUCAGCUACGGCGCCGUGAAUACGUUCCCGGGCCUUGUACACACCGCCCGUCACAUCAUGAAAGCCGUCUGCACCCGAAGUCGCUGUACCAACCCGCAAGGGGGGAAGGUGCCGAAGGUGUGGGUGGUGAUUGGGAUGAAGUCGUAACAAGGUA
RNAcentral lists this ribosomal RNA (1530 nucleotides) under metagenome. RNAcentral describes it as "bacterial SSU rRNA". It matches the Rfam family "Bacterial small subunit ribosomal RNA". The record is from RNAcentral.